GUUGUAGUCCAGGUUUCAGCUUCUAAGAUUCGAGUGGCCAUCAGUUUCUUCUAAUCAAGUCAACGCGCUGGAGAAUUGGCAUGCCUUGUGGUUCUAGAAUGCACUUGUUAUAUGACUUGGUCACAUUGGUUGUUACUUAGUUAUAUCAUUUACCCUUGAAGAUUGAUGUGGCCUAAUGGUCUGGUGAUGCUUCCAUGAACCACUUGAAUUCGUCCUCAGAAAUUGAUCUAAUUUUACUCUUCUCAAAAUAUUCUUGCAGCAUGUAUGCUCUACAUGCUCCGAUAAAAAUUUUUACAAAGGCUUUCUUAAUAUCAUUAUGUAUGUCUUUUACUUCCUUCUUGAAAUUCUCUGCUAAAUAACGCUCACAUAAGGCAUGAUGGGCAUUCUCAAAAACUUAACAGACAAUAUCAACUAGAUCAGGGUGUCUAUCUGACAAAAAAUGAUUUUACGAUAUGUCUCAAUAGCAAUCUUUAGAGAUUCUAUAAACAUGUAGAUAUCACCAUUUUAAAACUGGCAAAUUCUAUGAUAUUCCUGAACCCUUAGGACCACACUAUCCUAGUGAACCCCAUACCAUAGACCACCAUAGUCCAUACUACC
Molecule: long non-coding RNA, 597 nt
Filed under: Amborella trichopoda
Lineage: Eukaryota; Viridiplantae; Streptophyta; Magnoliopsida; Amborellales; Amborellaceae
Description: long non-coding RNA (ATRI_LNC003421)
Source: RNAcentral